AGUUACAUUAGGUCCAGAAUAUCAAAUUUGGAUUAGUAGCAGUUUUGGUUUGGGUUCAGGGCCUUAAUUUGCAUAUUGACUCUUCAUUUGAAAAAUUGCCAAAAGGGGGUCUCGGGGGUUAAUUUUUUCCAACAAUCUUUUUUCAAAAAUCUGUCAUCGCCAUUAAGUUUGAAAUAAUGAAAAUAUCCUGGUAGCACAUAUAGUUUAUUCCUAUUGGGUCCCAAAUGAAUCUC
RNAcentral lists this long non-coding RNA (233 nucleotides) under Capsicum annuum. RNAcentral describes it as "long non-coding RNA (CANN_LNC020650)". Lineage: Eukaryota; Viridiplantae; Streptophyta; Magnoliopsida; Solanales; Solanaceae. The record is from RNAcentral.